This 465-nucleotide ribosomal RNA is filed under the name Vreelandella stevensii. Its description in RNAcentral is "partial 16S ribosomal RNA". It matches the Rfam family "Bacterial small subunit ribosomal RNA", at positions 338 to 795 of the family's 1533-position model. Lineage: Bacteria; Pseudomonadati; Pseudomonadota; Gammaproteobacteria; Oceanospirillales; Halomonadaceae. The record is from RNAcentral.
CCUACGGGGUGCAGCAGUGGGGAAUAUUGGACAAUGGGCGAAAGCCUGAUCCAGCCAUGCCGCGUGUGUGAAGAAGGCCUUCGGGUUGUAAAGCACUUUCAGUGGGGAAGAAAGCCUUGGGGCUAAUACCCUCGAGGAAGGACAUCACCCACAGAAGAAGCACCGGCUAACUCCGUGCCAGCAGCCGCGGUAAUACGGAGGGUGCGAGCGUUAAUCGGAAUUACUGGGCGUAAAGCGCGCGUAGGCGGUCUGAUAAGCCGGUUGUGAAAUCCCCGGGCUCAACCUGGGAACGGCAUCCGGAACUGUCAGGCUAGAGUGCAGGAGAGGAGGGUAGAAUUCCAGGUGUAGCGGUGAAAUGCGUAGAGAUCGGGAGGAAUACCAGUGGCGAAGGCGGCCUUCUGGACAGAGACUGACGCUGAGGUGCGAAAGCGUGGGUAGCAAACAGGAUUAGAUACCCCAGUAGUC